This 483-nucleotide ribosomal RNA is filed under the name Triticum aestivum (bread wheat). Its description in RNAcentral is "partial small subunit ribosomal RNA". The record is from RNAcentral. Lineage: Eukaryota; Viridiplantae; Streptophyta; Magnoliopsida; Poales; Poaceae.
AUGGCGAUGGCGGCUCUCCGAUGCGCAGCCGGAAGGAGGCUGGCCGGUGGCGGCCGCAUGCUACCGCCGGCGCUCAGCCGGCCUCGUCCCGCCGCUCCCGGCUUGGGCCGCCCGAAUCUCACCCAGGUGGCCUUCUCAUCGCACGGGAAAGAAGAAGCCGGGAGGGAGGUCCUGGAGCAGAUCCAGGCGAAGAAGGAGAAGCUCUACGACCUCAUCCUGCGCCACGGCUAUAAGCGCAAUGACGGCUCCAUGUGCUACUCAAACGUCCAGCUCAUGCACCAUCUCUCCGCGCACAUCAAGCCUAGGCCCGAAAGCAUCGCGUGGCGUUACCUUCGGAAAGUACAUAGCUUCUAUAUUCUUUGGAUGUGCUUAAGCCCUGGCGUAAGCGCCUACGCAAUCUGGAAUAUCUACAAAGCGGGGGGCAGCAACUUGGGUGCUGUUCAACAGGGAGGAGAUGAGUUGAGGAAGAAGAAUUGGAUCGGU